This is a long non-coding RNA of Mustela putorius furo (domestic ferret), 528 nucleotides long. Lineage: Eukaryota; Metazoa; Chordata; Mammalia; Carnivora; Mustelidae. The record is from Ensembl.
UAAAUAAAAUCUUUAAAAAAAAAUAACAUUCUUAGAAAUUUCUUGACUGUUUUGCAAACUAACUUCACCUCCUUUCUUCGUUUUUUUUUUUUUUUUUUUUAAUUCUUGAAGUUGUGGAGUCACCAUUGAGCUGCAGGACUGGUUCCUGGGGCAGGACGAAAUUUCCCAGAAGAAUCAAUGGAAUGAAGCGGAUUCAUCUGGAGCCGGCAAGUUAUCAAUGACUCACAGGAGGGAGACGAUAAGGAGGCCCUCGAGAUAAAUUCAUGUGGUAAUUAGUUACAUGGACACCUGUAUUCUUCGGCUCUCUCUCAGUGCUACCAUUGCAUUAGAAACUUGCGAUAAUUAUCAAUAGCCAUCUUAAAUAUGUGACGUUGACUCCACCACCAAGGGGUAGAAAGUGAGAAGAAGAGAAGAUGAAUUGUAAAAAUUAAAACUGUUAGUGCGGAAAAUAGCACUAAACUGGCUUUCAAUUAUCAAAAUGCCUGGCAAGCUGAAAUAAGACCAAAAUCUCCAUUUAGAACUCUGCUG